ACGGACAGAUUACUGAUGGACGGACAGAUUACUGAUGGACGGACAGAUUACUGAUGGACGGACAGAUUACUGAUGGACGGACAGAUUACUGCUGGACGGACAGAUUACUGAUGGACGGACAGAUUACUGAUGGAUGGACAGAUUACUGAUGGACGGACAGAUUACUGAUGGACGGACAGAUUACUGAUGGACGGACAGAUGAGGCGAUCGUGGACGGACUGAGGGACUGAUGAGAUGCUGACAGCAGCUGAAGGGCAGAACAUUCAUUCAUGCUGACAAGUUCUGCAGUGCCCACAAAGUGAGGCUGACGUCUCCGGCUCAGGUGAGCCUCUACAGGACCAUGGACCAUAAUGUCAGACUAUCUGAGCCACAAGCCAAUCAGAUACUGGCCUGGUGAUGACUGUGAUGGCCCCGCCCCCAUCAUUAGGAGUCGUCAUCAAGGCAGUGCUGCUGCCACCAAUACUGCUGCCAUGGUAACGAGAUGUGAGUGGAGGGAAGGCG
This is a long non-coding RNA of Austrofundulus limnaeus, 501 nucleotides long. RefSeq lists it as uncharacterized. The transcript has 3 exons. Lineage: Eukaryota; Metazoa; Chordata; Actinopteri; Cyprinodontiformes; Rivulidae. The record is from RefSeq and is a predicted model, not a curated record.